Lontra canadensis (Northern American river otter) is the source of this 398-nucleotide long non-coding RNA. RefSeq lists it as uncharacterized. The record is from RefSeq and is a predicted model, not a curated record. Lineage: Eukaryota; Metazoa; Chordata; Mammalia; Carnivora; Mustelidae. The transcript is spliced from 3 exons.
AUGAAACCCAUCUUCUCCAAGUGACACCAGGCAUUCCAGAAUAGCCCUGAGGUUAAAGCGACACCGAAUUUUUUUUUCCUUCUUAAGUUUUCUUCAAGUCUUUGGAAAAGGCUGAAGAUGAGUUUUUUCCCUGGAACUUCUGCCAUUCUCAUGGCCCUCUGCUCUACUAUACCACGACUUUCUUGAACCUACAGGAUAAAUAGUUUAUGCUCCCAUUCUGGGCUUACCACUGAAUGGCAUAUUCUGAAAGAAGUUGCAGCAAAGAGUGUAUGUAUAAUUUGUCUGCAAGCUGUCAGAUGGCUAGAUUGUAGAAAACCUAGAAGGUAUUUUCUGGGAAUGCUCUAAGAUACAGUUAUGGUCAUCUCAAAUUAUUGAGUGAGAACAUGCCAGUUACUAUA